CAGGCUUCCCCGUCCCUGGGAUUCUCCAGGCAAGAACACUGGAGUGGGUUGCCAUUGCCUUCUCCGACACAAGUUAGAUCAGUAUAAUCUUAAAAAUUAAAAUCAAAAAAGGUGGUGAAAUGGGAGAACUAUUGUCUAAAAAUAAUCAAAUACUCUGAUCUUUCUACAGGAAUCAAGAAAGAAAUUAAAGAUUUGAUUGAAACUGGUCCUUGGUUAGUGAAGUUGUAUUUGGCAGAUAAUGGCAUAGAUGGAAAGGGAAAAGAAGGAGAAAAUGACUUGUUGGAAUUCACUCAAAUACUAACAUGCCUGAUCAAAUACUCUGCCCACUUAGAAGAGAUUGACCUUGGAAACAAUGCCCUGGGAGAAAAGGCUGCUGUUGACCUACUUGAAGCACUGAGAGCCAGAAAGACAGGUAAACUGCCAGUUUUAAAAAUUACAGUCACUCCCCAGAUCUCUUCAGACACCUUCAGAUCUAUUUGGAAAAACAGCAAGAAAUCUAGUAUUACCCAUAAAAAGAAGAAAAAGGUAUGCUUUUGGCUAUCUAUGCGAGUAGCAGCCACCAGGGGGCACUGUAUGGAGCCUGGGUUCUCUGUUGGGGUAGAUGGUGCGGUGAGCAGCGCAUGGGCUUCCUGAGAGCAUGAGCAUUUGAGUUCGAAGCCACACUCCCCUAAGCCAUCAUUGCACCCUGAUGGAUGAUAACUGUAGGACAAGAAGGAGGAGAACAGCACAGUUCUCUCACAGAUUAGUGCAAACUCUGCCUUCUCUCUUUGAACUUUCCCCACCAACCCCAACACACAUACACACACACACACACACACACACACACACACACAUUCUGGUUCCCGUCAGCCUGCUGUGGGUCUGAAGCGGUGAAUUUAUCUAAAUUCUUUAUGAAGCUGUGCUGUGUUGCCUCUUUUUGUUGUUCAGUCAGUAAGUUGUGUCUGACUCUGUGACCCCAUGGGCUACAGCACGCCAGGCUUCCCUGUCCUUCACCAUCUCCCAGAGUUUGCUCAGACUCAUGCCCAUUGAGACGAUGACGUCAUCCAACUAUUUCAUCCUUUGAGACCCCCUCUCCCUCUGCCUUCAAUCUUUCCCAACAUCAGGGUCUUUUCCAGUGAGUUGGCUCUUCUCCUCAGAUGGCCAAAAUAAAUAUUGGGGCUUCAGCUUCAACAUCAGUCCUUCCAACAAAUAUUCAGGGUUAUUUCCUUUAGGAUUGAUUGGUUUGAUCACCUUGCUGUCCAAAGGACUCUCAAGAGUCUUCUCUAGCACCACAGUUCAAAAGCACCAAUUCUUCAGUCUUCAGCAUUCUGCCUCUUAGGGCGGAUAAUGAUUUACAUAUGCUUCCUCUCUACUGUAUGAAGUUGAACUUCCUUUUUCUUUUUUUCUAAUUAUGAUUUCCUGUUCAUUUCUUCACAGGCUAAAAACUGAAUACGAAUGCCAUGUAUCCAUAUGGAUUCUAUCUAUUUCCAUGGACAACGAGAUGUGCCUGGAAAAAUAUUGCUUGUAACCAAGUAUCACUGUAACCAAGCCCUUUUCAAGUUCUAAAAUUUGAUAAGACUCUUUUAUGAAAGUUCAGAAUAGCGUUAGUCUUAUCAUGCUUAUCAUUUUCUAAAAUGUGGGUUUCACAAAGAGGUCUUAGUAAAAACAAGUGGAAUUCUUCUCUGGGGCUCUUGUGCAUGUGAAGCUUAUAACUUGAAGGAAGUCAUGAUCUUUAUCCAGAAAAGAAAAAAAUCUUCUUUCAUAAAUAUAUCUAUGGUUGGGAACAACAGGAAUUUGGGAAAUAAUAACCACUUUCUGAAAGACAACAUCUCUAACAACAGGGAUCUUACCCCAAAUGAGGAAACCUCCGCUUACUGCAACCUGUACCUGCAUUAGAGUUUCAGACAGCUCCAUGGGAAAUGGAAGAGGUGUCAUGGAUCGAUAUAUUGAUGAUAAAUUGGGUUUGUUAAACUGUACAUGUUGCAGGGAUAAAAAGCAUAGAUUGGGCAAUUAAAAUGAAACCAAAAUUCUCUGUGGAAACCUGCUGCUUUUCAGGUGACCUUGGGCAGGUCGGUUACCCUCACUGUGCCUCAGUUUCUCCUUACAUAAGACACAGAUAAGAAGAGCACAUAUUCAUUUGGUGAGCACUGAAUGAGGGUGACACAUGUCAAGUAUUUUAAGAUAAUACCUGUUUCAUUGUAUGUUUUCAAAAAUUAAUAUUAAUGACUGGUAUUAUUGCUGUUAGAAUUGAGUGAUUCCAGUUAUUUCACUUACAACAGCUACACAAAGAAAUAGGAAAAAAAAAAAAAGGCUUAAGAUCUCUUCAUUUAGCACUUAGAAACUGCCAUUGAUUCUAUGUAUAAUGUAACAAGUUCUGGUAUGUUCCAGGCAAAAAUCUAAUUGUGGAGGUGAGGAUGGUUAUGGUAAAUUAUGUCCUCUCUUGAGGAUCUUAGCACCUAGGAAGGAAGUCAAGAUCCUCAUACAUUAAAAGUAAACAUUAGGGCAUGAGUUGAAAUAGUCAGGGUAAGCAAGCCUAUGGAAUAGUGACAGCAACUUAACAAAUCUCCAGAACUUAUAUAUCCAAUGUGUAAGAUGUGUGAGGCUUCCUGAUAAAUUGUUUCUGCUAAAAAAAAGAAAAAUAGAACUUUUUAAAGAUUUGCCACUGACAUCCACUGGAUGGGAGUGUAAAAUCUGUGUGUUCAUUUAGGUGUAUUUUGACAAAAGAGUCGGACACGACUGAGUGACUGAACUGAACUGACCAUGUCUAUCAAAAUGAAAAACAAACAAACAAACAAAUCAUAGCCUUGACUCAGGCACGCAUACAUUUAGGGGUCUUUUGACAAUGUUUAUCAAAGUGAAAAAAAACAUAGCCUUGACUUAGGCAUGCAUACAUAUUUCCUUGCACGUGUCUGGGAGUAUAUCUAUCUAUAGAAAUAUGUAUAUAUAUAUAUAUAUGUAUAGAAAUAUGCAUAUAGAAAUAUCUAAGGAAAUAUGUAUUAAGAUGUUCACAGCAGCACUAUUAAUUAUACAUUGGAAACGACUAAAUGUCUCUCAACUGGUUCUCAGAGACAUAAAUCACAGGAAAUGUAUAUAGGGGAAUACUGUGCAGUCAUUAGGAAGAACAACGUGGAUAUGGAAGUGCUUAUGUGGAGAGAUGCGUUAGUCAUACUAUUAAACAAAAAGAGCAGCCUGGAGAAUAGUGAAUGUGAAAACUUCACAUUAAAAUGAACUGGCAUAAUAUGAGUUGGCAAUUUCAUCUCUGGGUUUACAUAUUCAAAAAAAUGGAAAGCAAGAUCACGAAGAGAUAAUUGUACACCUAUGUUCAUAAAGUGUUAGUCAUCAUAAUUAAAUGAUAGAAGCAACCCAUAUAUCCACUGAUGGAUGACUAGAUAAGCAAAAUGUGGUAAACACAUACAAUGGAAUAGUAUUCAGUUUUAAAAAGGAAGGAAAUUCUGACACACGCUACAGCAUGGAUGAACCUGGAGGACUUUAUGCUGUGUACCCCAGUUACAAAAAGACAAACACUGUAUAAUUCCAGUUAUGUGAAGUAUGUAGAUUACUCAAACUCAGAAACAGAAAGGAAAAUUGUGGGUGCCAGAGGGACAAGGGCGAAAUGCAGAGUUGUUUAAUGGGCAUGGAAUACAGUUUCAGUUUGGGAAGAUGAAAAAGUUCUAGAGAUUGGUUGAUAACAGUGUGAAUGUACUUAAUGCUUCUGAACUAUCCACACUUAAAAAUGGUUAGGAUGGGGGUUUCCCUGGUGGCUCACGGGGAAAAGAAUCCACCCACCAAUGAAAGAGCCAAUGGUUCGGUCCCUGAUCCAGGAAUAUCCCACAUGCCGUGGAGCCACUAAGCCCAUGCACCCCAACUACUGAAGCUAUGUUCUAGAGUCCAGGAGUCACGACUACUGAAGCCCUUGCGCCCGAGGGUCUGUGCUACACAGCAAGAGAAGCCCCUGCAAUGAGAAGCCCAUGCACUGCAACCAGAAUAGCCCCUGCCUGCAAUGAAGACCCAGCACAGCCAAAAAUAAAUAAAUAAAAUUUAAACCUUUAGGAUGGUAAACUCUAUGUUAUAUGUAUUUUUAAGUUUUUAAAUGAGUUGAUGUGUUACAUGUCUGCUAGUUUGUAUGUAGCAAUUUCUGAACAGUCUCUUAACAGUACUUGCUUUUUUCCCAUUGCAUACUCAAUUUACUAUUUUAAGGUUUUUAUCAUUUAGGAGCUGUCAAUUAAAAAAAAACAAC
Molecule: long non-coding RNA, 4216 nt
Filed under: Capra hircus (goat)
Lineage: Eukaryota; Metazoa; Chordata; Mammalia; Artiodactyla; Bovidae
Description: lncRNA (ENSCHIG00000006789.1)
Source: RNAcentral